This 205-nucleotide ribosomal RNA is filed under the name Klebsiella pneumoniae. RNAcentral describes it as "partial 16S ribosomal RNA". It matches the Rfam family "Bacterial small subunit ribosomal RNA", at positions 1 to 211 of the family's 1533-position model. Lineage: Bacteria; Pseudomonadati; Pseudomonadota; Gammaproteobacteria; Enterobacterales; Enterobacteriaceae. The record is from RNAcentral.
ACUUAAAUUGAAGAGUUUGAUCAUGGCUCAGAUUGAACGCUGGCGGCAGGCCUAACACAUGCAAGUCGAGCGGUAGCACAGAGAGCUUGCUCUCGGGUGACGAGCGGCGGACGGGUGAGUAAUGUCUGGGAAACUGCCUGAUGGAGGGGGAUAACUACUGGAAACGGUAGCUAAUACCGCAUAACGUCGCAAGACCAAAGUGGGG